AUGUCCGGAGCGGGAGGCAGGUGGGUGGCCUUCACCAUCAAGGAGGAACACAUCACGAAGCUCCGGGCGACCGGAUACUUGGCCACAGAUAUCGCGCACCAGCUCCCGGAUGCAGGGCAGAUUAUCCCGACUCCAGGACCCCACGAGAGGGUCAUGUUCCUCUCCCACUUCGUCCGCGGACUGGGAUUCCCCCUCCACCCAUUUGUCUGCGGGGUCAUGUUCUAUUACGGGCUGGAUUUUCAUGAUCUGGCCCCUAACUUCAUCCUCAACAUCUCGGCGUUUAUCGUCGUGUGCGAGGCCUUUCUCCGCAUCAGGCCCCACUUUGGCCUGUGGCUAAAGAUCUUCAAUGUAAAGCCAAACAUAGUGGUCGGCCAGCAGGCGGAGUGCGGUGGCGCCAUGGUGGGCAAGAUGCCCAACGUCACUUGGCUUGAAGGCUCCUUUGCGGAAACCGUGAAGGGGUGGCAAUCGGGAUGGUUUUAUAUCAUCGAGCCGCGCGAUGCCAACUGUGUGGCGGCCCCGGGAUUCCGAUCCGGCAUCCCUGUGCGGCUCACUUCCUGGAAGAGGAAGGGCCUUGACUGGGGCGCAUCCGCGGAGCUAACCGGACUCUAG
RNAcentral lists this ribosomal RNA (609 nucleotides) under Triticum aestivum (bread wheat). Its description in RNAcentral is "partial small subunit ribosomal RNA". The record is from RNAcentral. Lineage: Eukaryota; Viridiplantae; Streptophyta; Magnoliopsida; Poales; Poaceae.